Molecule: ribosomal RNA, 238 nt
Filed under: uncultured Candidatus Saccharibacteria bacterium
Lineage: Bacteria; Candidatus Saccharimonadota
Description: partial 16S ribosomal RNA
Rfam family: Bacterial small subunit ribosomal RNA
Source: RNAcentral
AAAGCGAAUAGUGAAAUCUGGGGGGCUCAACCUCACAGGCUAUUAUUCGAACUCACUGACUCGAGAACAGCAGAGGUAACUGGAAUUUCUGAAGUAGGGGGUAAUAUCCGUAGAUAUCAGAAGGAACACCAAUGGCGUAGGCAGGUUACUGGGGCUGUUUCUGACACUGAGGCACGAAAGCGUGGGGAGCGAACGGGAUUAGAUACCCGGUAGUCCACGCCGUAAACGAUGGAUGCUA